Molecule: ribosomal RNA, 807 nt
Filed under: Triticum aestivum (bread wheat)
Lineage: Eukaryota; Viridiplantae; Streptophyta; Magnoliopsida; Poales; Poaceae
Description: partial small subunit ribosomal RNA
Source: RNAcentral
AUGCAGCACGGCGACGGGCGGAGGUACCGUUGCAAGACAUGCAACUACGACCUCCACAUAUGCUGCGCCCUCCUCCGACAGCGCCCAAACCCUGUCGGCUGCAAGCUCACCUUCUUCCUCAAGCCCCCCGCCUCCCCAACCGGUCCCAGGCGCUGCAACGCUUGUGACGAUAAGGUGCUUGGCUUCGUGUACCACAACCGCGAGCUCGACAUCGACCUCCACCCGGCCUGCGCUUUCCUGCCGAAGCGCAUAGUCAUGGAUGGCCACCCGUUCGACCUCCACACGAAAGCGGAGCCGUCCCGUAUUUGCGGGCUGUGCGACCAGAACGACCCCCUCAACAAGAGGUGGUCCUACUGUUCCCACGACGACCACGGCGAGCAUGUGUACCUACACGUGAAGUGCCUGAAGGACAAGUCCCGCAGCGGCGCCGGUCUGGUAGAGCGAGCCGCGGUGACACAGAACUUGCCGGCCACGACCAACGGCCACCAGACUGUGAAAGCGAGGGCGCCAACGCCACAAAUGUACGUGCCGCAUAAGAGCAACGCCGGCCAGACUAUGAAAGCGAGGGCGCCAACGGCACAGAAGUACGUGCCGCCCAAGAGCAACGCCAGCCAGACUGUGAAAGCAACGGCGCCAACAGGGCAGGGCAUGCAGUUGCAAAACGUGCCAGCCGGGAGGACCGGCAGGUUCAGGCGUGUCUUGAAGUUUGCCAAGAUCCUCGCAAGGAUCACCUACGCGCUCCUCACUGGGGAUCCAACUGCGAUUUUCAUGUUGGUUCCUGUCGUCAGUGGACUUUUUCGCAACUAA